AAAAAUUAAAAAAGAACAUCCAUAUGACACUAGGAAUAUUGGCUACGUCAAUCAACUGAAAAACCAUUAACUAAUAGUGCAUUACCGACUACCGAACUGAGUUCGCACUGUACCAAUGGUUGCGGAAAAGCCUCCGGCUGAGCAAGAAGAAGACCGGUGGCAACACCUUUGGAAAACCCAUUUUCCUGGGAGCCGUCGCUGCUGGCACUUCCCCAUCAUCAUCGUCAUUAUGGGAAUGCCUCCUGGUGGGACUAUCGGCGGCCCAGCAUCUUGAUGAUCGGAGCAGGAACCAGAGCCAUUGCGAAACGUGAUUUGUAGGGUCAUCAUUCAAAAGGCAUCGACUACAAGCGCGGCGAGAUCUCAUCCCAAGCCGAAGCAGUCGCAGCGAAGGAGUCGCUAUCCCUGGCCAGCCUGGUCCUAAAAUCCAGAUGCCCGACGAUUCCGAGCAGCAGCCGAAAAGAAAAUUAAAAUGGUUAUACAUUCAUGUAAUUUAACGAAAUUCAAUUGAAUGCCAAGUCACAACAACUGCCCGACCAGGGGCCAAACUAAACUAAAGCGAACUAAACCGAACUCCCAGCUCAGGUCGCAUCUGACUUUACAGAGAGAGAAAUUAAGCAGCUGGUCAGAAGUGUAAACUAUAAUAUUAAAUAUUUAAAACACAUU
Molecule: non-coding RNA, 663 nt
Organism: Drosophila melanogaster (fruit fly)
Lineage: Eukaryota; Metazoa; Arthropoda; Insecta; Diptera; Drosophilidae
Source: Ensembl